This 285-nucleotide long non-coding RNA is filed under the name Mytilus galloprovincialis (Mediterranean mussel). The record is from RNAcentral. Lineage: Eukaryota; Metazoa; Mollusca; Bivalvia; Mytilida; Mytilidae.
ACAGCAGUCAAUAUUGUGUUAUCAUUUUAAUAUCACUAUAAAACAACAAAUGUAACGAAGAAUCACAAAAAGGCAUACAUCAAAUUUAACAUACUCUUUUUGCUUUUCUUAUACCACUGAAUUUAUGUAUAUAAAGUCUACCCGUAAAGGAAAGGUUUUCCUUGCUGGUGUAAAAAUGCGCGUUUGAAAUUCGUACAGGUAGACAUAAAAAUAAUUUUGUCGUUUAAAGUAUGAAGGCAUACAUACUUGCAUCACUAUAAAAAAAAAAAAAAAUGUAACGAAAAA